RNAcentral lists this ribosomal RNA (490 nucleotides) under uncultured bacterium. Its description in RNAcentral is "partial 16S ribosomal RNA". It matches the Rfam family "Bacterial small subunit ribosomal RNA", at positions 30 to 507 of the family's 1533-position model. The record is from RNAcentral.
AUUGAACGCUGGCGGCAGGCCUAACACAUGCAAGUCGAACGGUAACAGGGAUCAGCUUGCUGAUUCGCUGACGAGUGGCGGACGGGUGAGUAAUGUCUGGGAAACUGCCUGAUGGAGGGGGAUAACUACUGGAAACGGUAGCUAAUACCGCAUAACGUCGCAAGACCAAAGAGGGGGACCUUCGGGCCUCUUGCCAUCGGAUGUGCCCAGAUGGGAUUAGCUAGUAGGUGGGGUAACGGCUCACCUAGGCGACGAUCCCUAGCUGGUCUGAGAGGAUGACCAGCCACACUGGAACUGAGACACGGUCCAGACUCCUACGGGAGGCAGCAGUGGGGAAUAUUGCACAAUGGGCGCAAGCCUGAUGCAGCCAUGCCGCGUGUACGAAGAAGGCCUUCGGGUUGUAAAGUACUUUCAGCGGGGAGGAAGGGAGUAAAGUUAAUACCUUUGCUCAUUGACGUUACCCGCAGAAGAAGCACCGGCUAACUCCGUG